This is a long non-coding RNA of Marmota monax (woodchuck), 390 nucleotides long. RefSeq lists it as uncharacterized. Lineage: Eukaryota; Metazoa; Chordata; Mammalia; Rodentia; Sciuridae. The transcript is spliced from 3 exons. The record is from RefSeq and is a predicted model, not a curated record.
GUAAAUUCCACUUGGCUGAGUCUCACUGAUCAAAGUAAAGGGUCAUCAGGAAAAACAAAUCCUGGGUCUUGGGAACCACUUCAGGUCCCCAGCUGAGGAGGACUCCAGCCUCUGAAACCUGCACCUGCCCCAAGCUGAAGUCAACUCCUGCUUUUUCUGUGUCCCUGUCAAGUCUCUCUCAAAGUGCUGCAGUGAGACGUGAACAGAGGAGCCACCCCACCUGCCUGGUCCAACCCCUGCUUCUUACCAGGAGUGGAUCUCCUGCCCGCCCUGGGCAGCUCAUGCUCUGCUCAGAGGGAAUGGCUCACUGUGGGCUCAUCAGCUCCUAUCAGCGGCCAAUCUGGACUUGAGAAGACCUGCAGAGGCUCCUGAUUUGAUUAAGAUGAACCA